AAGGAAUGGGUGACGUUUUGGGUUGAGGAGGAGAACUUCGCCAACGUGGACAUACCUUGAGGAGAUUUGGCAGUGGAGCGGACAAAAUGUGCAAGAA
Amblyraja radiata (thorny skate) is the source of this 97-nucleotide long non-coding RNA. RefSeq lists it as uncharacterized. Lineage: Eukaryota; Metazoa; Chordata; Chondrichthyes; Rajiformes; Rajidae. The transcript is spliced from 3 exons. The record is from RefSeq and is a predicted model, not a curated record.